RNAcentral lists this long non-coding RNA (652 nucleotides) under Setaria viridis. RNAcentral's name for it is "long non-coding RNA (SVIR_LNC003607)". Lineage: Eukaryota; Viridiplantae; Streptophyta; Magnoliopsida; Poales; Poaceae. The record is from RNAcentral.
CUAAUUAAUACAGGAUUAGGUCACAUUUCAUAAAAAGCACAUGCACUUAAUAAGGUUUAUUUAUCUACAAGUGAAAGUGCCUUAGCCUAGUGGUCAGAGCACCUGAGUAGCAUCAAGCAGGCCCAAGUUCGACUCCACGUGGGAGCAAAUUAAACGGGUCUAGAAUUAAAAAAAUUAUAAAAAAUAGGUUGGGAUAUCCCUACUGACUUCGGUAAAAAAAAAGUUUAUUAUCUGCAACUAGGCCUAGCAUACCUUGGUCCCAAACUUGCUAACCCGUGGGACCAGCAGAGCGAGAAUUAGGAUUCUUGAUCCCUCUCAAUCUCUCUUUCAAUUCGAGGAUCCAGAGAGGUGUUUUCAUAGUCAUCUCCGAAUAUUUGCCAUCUCCGAAUAUUUGCCAUCUCCGAAUAUUUUCGAUUUCAUUUUUCUAUGAUAUGUCUUUCUAUAUGAAAAUUGGUUAUUUACGAUGUACGAUGAUCCCUGUUAAGCAUCCAUGGCUGAAUGGUUAAAGCGCCCAACUCAAAGUCGUGUGACACGCGAUCAUGCACUUUAAGCAAGUCAACUUGGUCGUCCGUUGGAUUUCAUCCGAUAAACCACUUACUCAGGAUCGAGAAGCACUGCUCACACGAAGGUGAGUGGCACAGAGAUUACAACG